GCUUUUGUGACUCGUCCCCACCAACCUCGUCGCUUUUGUGACAACGACAUGAAGUCGAUAGUGAAAAGGGAUCCAGCUUGCACGUGACCAUCUCUUCACGUGAGGGAAUUCCAUCCACUUGUUAGAAACGUUCACCCACUCACUUCGGAGGUUGGGGUGUAUCACUUCUAGGUCCUAUCGAUUAAAUUUCGAAUUUUCCUCGUCAAAAAGAUGAAAGCAUUUUAAUUAUAAAAUUUUUAAAGUCUGAUAUUCAAUAAGUUUAUUAAAUCAACAGAAAGAUAUGCUGUAUUUCGGACCAUUUCACAGCCGGAUUAUAACGAAAAAGGGUCAUGUUUUUUUUUGUACACGUAAACAAGUUUGAUCCGAAAAUAUUCGUUAGAAUUACCAAGAAACGAGUAGGAUGUUUAUUUUAGUCACCUGCGCUUUAUAAAUCCUAUCCGAUAACUUCUUAUCCACAUUUUAACUCCCUUAAUCACUUAGUGGCAUGUUUGAAUCACACAAACUCGUCGGAAGUGUUUAAACAAUGAAAGAGUUCGUACUACCAUUCUAGGAAGAAUGAUUAAAGGAAUCGAUGAUGUUUAUUGCUAAACGUGACGAUCAUUUCCGCAAAGAUUUACGUCAAACUCCUCCACUUCUUCCACUGUAGCGUGUGGGUCGAAGUAUCUACCCACAUCAUUUAUCCUUUCGUUCAAAUCUCUUGUUUACCAAAAAGACCAGCGAAAGGCCACCACUACUUACAAGGAAACAUGGCAAAUCUAUAGGGAGAGUCGCUGAUAAUGUAUCGAACACAUCCCGUACAUUUGGACUGGUAAAUAGGCGGUUAUUCACAUCCUGUACGGUAAUGACGUCACCGGAGUUUAUUGGAAUGAGAUAUUUUGCGAAGCUCGACUCUCCCUAAUUUGCCGUCUUUUUUUUUUUUGUCGACGAAUCGUAGUCUUUGUUCGAAAUUUUCGUGUCUUUAAUUUAAUCAAAUUUCAAUAAUUUUCGUUGGAAUAUUUAAUUUUAUUUAACCUUUUGUAAGUCGCAUCUCCGCAGUAACGUCGUGUUAUCGAUAUUAAACGAUUGUCCUUUUUUUUAAAAAAAAAAAUCUUUAUUAUGUUUGCACUGUUAAAAAAACAGUGCGAGGAACGUUAAAUUCCAUUUUAAAAUGUUGGACAAAUUAAUUUUCAUAAACGCUUAAAGGUGCGCACGGACCAUCUUACGCUGAUUUUUCCCAAUAAAAAUGGAGCCUUGACGUAUUAAAAAUCAUCCCAUUUGAUAGGAAAAUUGUAUCAGAUAUUGCUUAAGAUUUCUGAUACGCGAUACCAUAGCAUAAAUCGAUAUUAGAAUCCAAAUUUUUGGUCAUCAUCCUUAAAAUAUACCGCAAUUAACCUCACGAAAUUUACAGGGGAAGAGGUAACAAAUUUAAAUGUUUAUUUUUGACACCGUACAGUUAAUUUAUAUCAAAAGUAAAAUGUAUUUAUAUAUAAUAUAAUAUAUAAUUCGUCACCAGGGAUGAGGAGUCGAUCCGCAGCGAUACUGCAUCACCCCUACGAGUGCUAUAUCCCGCAUCUAUAAGUGUAUGGGUAUUAGAUACGACGCCAAUACUGUAUAUAUAUAUUUAAAAGUAAAAAAAAAUAAAAUAAAAACUUCGGUAAUUAGUUUUUAUACAUUUAUAUCAGUAGGUUUGAUGACAGACGGUUUGCAAUUUGGUAAGGUACGAAGCGGAGUGCGAAUGUACAAAUUGAUUUUUUCUAGGGUGGCGUCUAAUACGUACUUCGCCCUAGUUGAACGUCUGGACGGUAGAUGGCGCUGGUAGGGGGGAAAUCGGCGCCACACUGCCAGUCUGCAGCAGACAUUCCUGCUGUCUAGGCGAGGGUAAAUUUUCUGAUGCGUCAUCACUCGCCGCCGACACCGUUCGGGUUGUGUACACCGACUACGCAGUUACGACCCCCGACUCCGUUCGGGUUGUUGCUAGUGUACAGAACGUGCGUACAUUCGUAUAUCUACGGGCGGAAGUCGAGCUGCUGUUAUUUUUUUCCUUUUUUUUUAAAAAUAUCUUCUACUCUUUAAGAGCCGGAGGGAUGAUUUGUGUGACGUCUUCUCUGUAAGAUACAGUUGCGUCUACCUGUUCAUUCAGCCGUCGAUGUUUUGCAGGACCACCCGGCGUUAGUUGCGCAAUCUUCCACGGGGAAAAAUCGCCAAUAUUCCAUGUUUUGUCGCCGCUUCUCUACAGACGUCAAAGAAAGAUUCGCUCUUUCGUCGAUGGCACAACGGGAAUGGUAGGGGGUCCGAGAUGGCUCCCUUCUCAUUGGUCCGAACACGCUGACCACGCUUUGCCGACAGCCAAUAGAAAGCGUAGAAGUUACGUCCGGUCGCAGUUUUUCCCAGAAGUUAAACGUUAGUAAAGAAAUAAUACAAUUUGACUGAAUGAAGUCGUCGAGUAGGGAGUUGUAUCGUCAUUCCUUCUCCUGUUAACUGGAUGGUUUGUACCCCACUCUUAACAAGGAAACCUAAUACAGCUUCUACCGUCUUACGUCGAAGUCGGAGGUAUUCCCCCUGUUCCGUAGAGACGCGAUGCAGACAGUUAAUGUGACGUCACGAAUCGAUACACCAUCCGGGUCACCGGCGCGAGGUGGAAGACUCCAAGUUUCCGUUAUUGCAGGAACAAUCCGUCGCCGUCGGAAGAUUUUUGUAUGGAUACAGUAGCAGAGGCAAAGGAAAAAGAGGAUUAUCGGUCGGAAGACGUUGGCGUUGAAUACCUGGAAUGUGCUUCUGACUCACUUCGUUACAUCCUCCUCCACCCACCAUUGGGGAAUGCCCGAAGUUCUCACGUGCUGCAUCAGGUGCUUGUGACUGGGCUGUCGAAGUCAGGUACCUGAAGUAGUGCGCGGAGAAAUUCGGGUCUGUGACCACCUUUCCUUCUCCGAAUUCCGCUUCGUCGGGGUGAGUAUUAACUAGAUUUUUUCCACGUUACGAUGCGAAAUUCGAUACUUAUUUUUAUGCAAUUACUAAAUUAAUUGAUUUAAUAUUCUUAGUACUUUUAUUAUCUUUGAUUUUUAUAUAAGUCUCUUAAGCUUUGAUUUCUCUUUAUUUAAAUCCCCCCUCUUUUGGUGAAAUAUUACCGUAGAGAUUUUUUUAGCGAAUCCCCUUCCUUAAAAACUCGAUCGAAUGAUCAAAAUUCUGUUAAAUGAAUAUAGUUUAAUCGCCUGUUAAUAGUGGUUAUUUAAGGGAGACGACCGUUUAAGAGAAGAAUAAGAAGGGGGAAAAAAAACAGCGAGUGGUGCGGAUUAUAUUCGCAUCAUCCCCGUUAUUCGGUUACACAGGCGGCCGCCGAUAUACACAAACAGAAAGUCUGACGGGACAUAAAUAAACGUUUGAGGUGUGGCAUUGCCUGUCUGGGUCUCACAACCCGAGUCUAACCUGAAUACUGUACUUGUACCGUCCUCUGACUCAUACACCCCGACACACGUCAUUUGCGAGUGCCCACGCGUUUGUUGCGUGUUUCCGGGACACUUUGGGUUGCGUGUCGACUCGCGACGCCAGCCAGUCACCAUCGGGACAGAAGCGAUUCGUGUCUUUGUGCUUGUUCUUCUUAACCAGGUGUUCCGUUUUGAGGGAUGUGCGGCGGUGAGUCUUUUAUCUGCCUGUCUGGCAGAAAUCUUAGAGUAAUCGCGGAUUAUAGAACUAAUAUAACCUUCUCGAGGUUUCCCCCUUUCCAGUGCGAUUCAUUCUUCUCUUUCGAGGGGGGUAACGACACGAUGUUGUCCCAAUUUUCCGGCGUCGGAUGUUGCAAUUGUUCGAAGUGUUGCGCACGUCAGAGAAGACGUGAACCCGGCGAAUAAUGAGGCAAUUUAAAAACUAUAAAUCAUGACAAGUAAUAAAUAUUCAUUCAUAAUUUUUGCUAAUUACUUUUUAUGGGAGUGCUCGGUGGUUUGACCCUUUUUUUAUUAUUAUUCUUUUGGAGGAAUCGUGGUCGUAUCUUCUUUUUGGUUGUUGGAAAUCCGGCUUUUGUGUCGAAUUUUGGAGAUUCGAGUGGAUAAAAUCGAUUAAAAUCCUUCGCAGAUUUGUCAAAAUGGAUACGUCGACUCGUUAAACCAUAACUAGGGAUUUUGGGGUUUUCGGGGUGUGUUUUAUUGCCGGUUCCUUCUGUUAGCCAUCUCCAAGCGAAAUUAAUGCGAUGAUAGUGCCGGGUUGAAGAAUUUAGUACUCUGAAUGUUCACGAAGGUGAUAUGUCUGUUAACCGGAAAUCCGGAUGUCGGGCAUUAUCUACUUUUAGACAAUAGAUCACAGUUUCUUAUAAGAAAUUGCUCAGAGCUAUUCUGGAAUUGUGGCCUAUAUAGCGAGUCAGAUCCUGUCUUGUGUACUGUACACUGUCCAGACCAGACAUUCCCAACAGUCUAGCUGCAGUUCUAUUACUGCGGUGUCAUUGACCGCUCGUGUGUCGGGUUACCGUACUCGCACCGAAUAUCUGGAGUUGUUGCUGCGGCAGUAACGUCUUACAAUGUCUGAAUGACAGUGCGUCGGGAUUUAGCACGCUAAAACGUCCGUAAAAAGCGCAGAGUCGGUACGAGACAAUUUAAAACCCCCGUAUAAAAUGUGUAUUUAUAAAACUCUCGUUGUAUCUAUUGUGCCUGACCUACUAGCAAAGUGGCAGCUCAAAAUCCCCUCUUUUUUUCCUUUUUCUUUUUUACUUUUUUUUUUCUUUUUACCCGCAUUUAUCCGCACGUAGGGGGAAAAACAGGUGUUCUCGAGUACAGAAAUGCGCCGGUUCCUCUCUAACCUUUUUCAAGGUCACCGACCAGUCUGUUAUGAUUGGUUUUAAAUAGGCACGUGCUAAAGCCGGAUGUCGGAGGGUACCACUUCCGGUCGGUUGCCCCAUUAAAGGCAGCUGCGUUGGGAUGACGUCAACCAACACGUGCGAACUCGUGUUAGAACAAUUUGGAGGAAGGGGAGGAGGGGAAUAAAGAAUCGGGAAAAAAAAACGGGGACGUCUCCGAAGGCUAUAACCAAAUCUUCACCCGAUUGCACACAACAGGUGUUCGCGUGGCACUGCCAAUUUCUUCUCCUCCUCUCCGAAAGAGGGGUGUAAAUUAUCCGGCAGAAUACCCCCACAGGUUAGGUUGCGUCUGUGGCUUUCACUUCUUCCGAUAAAUAUACCUGUUUGAUUGCCUCCCCCGUCUGUCUGGGAAGUUUCCUCCUCUCGAUCCUACCUGUCUGUCCCAACGAUGAAUGGAGAGAUUAGAUAGCUUUUUAUAACUCUAAUAACUUAUUCUAUUUAUAGCUCAUCAUUUCUAGAGCGGUAGAGGCGCCGUUCCACGCUUUAAUUCUCCUCCCCCCUUUGAUAGGGAGAUUCGUGGGUUUCGGCACGUCACAGAGACGAAACUACAUAAUGGCCCGUCUGAUUGUCUGUGCGGUUCGGUAUGAUUGUCACCUUCGCCCGCCACCAGUUCUUUGUACUUCAUUAGGUGCUCUGGUGUGUGGGAUCCAGGCAUCUCAUGGAGUGCAAAUGAUAGGUGGUUGAUUUACAACGUUGGAUUAUCGAUCAAAUUUGCAUCUUACUCGUUAGUACCGACCGCAUUACCCGCUGUCUAAUGCAUGAUACAAUAGUGUAGAAGUAGAUCUCGGUCGGAUGCAAAAAGACGUUGAGUGCCCUUAAUAAUAGGGAAUUUCCAACGCGUUAUUAGUUAAAUAUAUAUAUAUUUAUAUAUUGUACUUCAUUUUCUCUUUACGCCAGUAAGUAAAAUUUAUUUUUAAGGUUACAUUUUUUUUCGCCUAUUAAGUGAGGUUUUUCGUAAUCUUACUACAAAGCAGCUUAUGUAAAUCUAGCGUACUGCGUGUAUAUGUAUGUGUAUAUAUAAUCAUGUUUAUAAAAUACAAAAUUAAAUUUUCUUACCUAAUAAUGCGGUUUUUCUGAGCAAUUUUUUAUCGCGUUACUCUCGCUUGGUGGUACUCACGUGGUGACAGUUUUAUACCCUUCAACUGAUGGUUUUCUAUCACGAUGCUUGCCUCUGAGGCUCGUUUUGGUAGUUUUGUUCUUCGAUAUCGUCGUCAGUGGAUUUGUACAAUACCUGCACAUAAACCGUACUAAUUUAGGGGAGGGAAAAGAUGCUUCUGUUAAGAUUCUACACAGCCCAACGCUACUUUAAACUCUAAUAAAUUAAAAAGAUAGUUAAUGUCUUGCGAUUACGAUUGACUGUUUCGAAUUGACUGAAUCUAAAAAUCCUCAAGAUUGUCUUUCAUUCACUCUGUGACGUCCUUGACUUCAUCCCACGAUACUAGAGAAUAUUAAUUUAGUCUCCGUCUACGUAGAAUUUUUAAACAAAUCUUCGUGUGCCAUUUAAACAUUACGUGUUCGACUAAUGAUAAACGUAGACAAGUAUAGACUCCUCUUUAGUCAUAGCAGAAGGAAUUCUUUUAUUUUUAUUUUUUUUUAUAAGUUGUGUAAAUCUACGUGCGACAAGGUCGUAUUUAAUCACGUGAUCGAAAUAUCGAUAUUAUAAAACUAUUUUUGUACUAGAUGGUGUCAUAAGGUCACCGAAUCUGUAAUCCUCGAAUAUGUUAUUGUAUAUAUAAUGUCAUGGCUGAUUUACAUGUAUUUUGGAAAGGGGAACACGACUAGUUCGUUGCCACAUGGGUUUCAACAUUCGCAGAAAGAGGUUGUGCAACGUUGAGUCAUUCCUCGAAAUUUUCUCAUGAAAAUAGUGAUUGCUCGGAAAAAAAGUACACUUUUAACAUCUUUUAUGACCUUCUGUAGGAGGAAUUGUAAUUGUAUAAAUAUAUCUUUUGUUCGAGGUAUUUUACCAAAAACAAAAAAUUUAAUUUAAAAAGAGAACCAAACUUUGAAAGAUUUUUUUUUGAAUAUCUUUGUAUUUAGAAGUGGCACAAUUAAUUUAUUAUAUACAAUGAGAAAGUCAUACAAUUCUCGAAAGGCUUCUAGGUUGUGCGGUUUUUAUAACUGGAUUUCACAAACUUGUUUACUUUUUUAGGUGAAGACUUAUUAUUAAUUUCAAGCUAAUUGCGUUAAGUAAUAAAAUAUUGCAGGUGUUUUUACAAAUAAAUAAACUUUGCACACCCUGAGACUCCCUUGAACUAUAAAUGCCAAAUUGACUAAUGUUAGCUCUGGAUGACUUAAAUAAUCGGAAUGUUGUCAUAAAUUGUGUUUAAGCUCUCGACUUUUAACUGGAAACGAGUCAUACGUCGAUGUAGCACCUGAUAAGAAGUUAAGAAACAAACCGCUUGUUUGACAAUAUAAAUAGACAGUUUGAAGUAAAAUGAGAUUUAAAAUGGUCUUUUUACUUAUCUUUCGUGUAUUAUAUUCGUGUUUUCUUGUGCUUUCAACAUUUAUAUUUUCGAAUUAAAAACCUUAAAAUCUAUUGUCUACGUUCAUCCUUACACAAAUUAACCUGUAUCUAAAGUAGAUUAUAAUAUUAAAUAAUCUCUCUCGAUUUCUCUCCGGGGUUGUACCUUUUCGGACUGGCCAAACCAGAAACGUUUUCUUUAAUUGGUCUUCCAAAAUAGUUUAAGUAAACGGCAGUUGAUGAUGUAAGGAAUUCAAUUUAUGUGAGGUGUGAAAUAUCGUCCCACAAAUUUUCGGAAGCGGGUGGCGAUGUGGGUGCCGAAGAGAAGAAUUCCUGCCAAAUUCUUUAGCCUACCUACAAACUGUUCUUUCUCUACUUCGCCCACAUAAAUAAUGCGGGCGAUUUACAUAACGAGUCAUCGCUGGUAUCAUCCGAAGGUCGUACAGUAGGCUCCACUUAAUACAAUAAAUUGCAACUC
Molecule: long non-coding RNA, 7758 nt
Organism: Centruroides sculpturatus (bark scorpion)
Lineage: Eukaryota; Metazoa; Arthropoda; Arachnida; Scorpiones; Buthidae
Exons: 2
Source: RefSeq, a predicted model, not a curated record